This 253-nucleotide ribosomal RNA is filed under the name uncultured bacterium. RNAcentral describes it as "partial 16S ribosomal RNA". It matches the Rfam family "Bacterial small subunit ribosomal RNA", at positions 524 to 776 of the family's 1533-position model. The record is from RNAcentral.
UACGGGGGGGGCAAGCGUUGUUCGGAAUUACUGGGCGUAAAGAGCUCGUAGGUGGUUUGUCGCGUUGUCCGUGAAAACUCACAACUCAAUUGUGGGCGUGCGGGCGAUACGGGCAGACUGGAGUACUGCAGGGGAGACUGGAAUUCCUGGUGUAGCGGUGGAAUGCGCAGAUAUCAGGAGGAACACCGGUGGCGAAGGCGGGUCUCUGGGCAGUAACUGACGCUGAGGAGCGAAAGCGUGGGGAGCGAACAGG